RNAcentral lists this ribosomal RNA (500 nucleotides) under uncultured bacterium. Its description in RNAcentral is "partial 16S ribosomal RNA". It matches the Rfam family "Bacterial small subunit ribosomal RNA", at positions 30 to 523 of the family's 1533-position model. The record is from RNAcentral.
AUUGAACGCUGGCGGAAUGCUUUACACAUGCAAGUCGAACGGCAGCACGGACUUCGGUCUGGCGGCGAGUGGCGAACGGGUGAGUAAUGUAUCGGAGCGUGCCCAGUCGUGGGGGAUAACGUAGUGAAAAUUACGCUAAUACCGCAUACGAUCUAUGGAUGAAAGCGGGGGAUCGCAAGACCUCGCGCGAUUGGAGCGGCCGAUAUCAGAUUAGGUAGUUGGUGGGGUAAAGGCCCACCAAGCCAACGAUCUGUAGCUGGUCUGAGAGGACGACCAGCCACACUGGAACUGAGACACGGUCCAGACUCCUACGGGAGGCAGCAGUGGGGAAUUUUGGACAAUGGGCGAAAGCCUGAUCCAGCCAUUCCGCGUGCAGGAUGAAGGCCCUCGGGUUGUAAACUGCUUUUGUACAGAACGAAAAGGUUUCUACUAAUACUAGGAGCUCAUGACGGUACUGUAAGAAUAAGCACCGGCUAACUACGUGCCAGCCGCCGCAGUAA